This is a long non-coding RNA of Ooceraea biroi (clonal raider ant), 1345 nucleotides long. RefSeq lists it as uncharacterized. NCBI's taxonomy places the organism in Eukaryota, Metazoa, Arthropoda, Insecta, Hymenoptera, Formicidae. The record is from RefSeq and is a predicted model, not a curated record.
GAUAAAAAGAGAAUUGUGAGUUAAAUGUCAAAUAUCGAAAAAUGUUUGUCUCUUCGUUCGAGACGUUCGAAAACAGGAGAAUUUAAAGCAAAAUAUUUUGAAGCUAGCAAGUGGAAUAAAUUUUGUUUUAACUUUAUUUGUCUUAACUUUAUGUAUGAUCAAGCCAAAAUAAAUAAUAUAUCUUUUUUCAAUUUAAAUUCAGUCUGCUCGCUUUUUGUAUUCAGUAAUAAAAUAAAAUUAAGAUUACUUAAUAUUCAUGCUCUCCACAAACACAGUCGAAAUAAGUAUUGUUUAAUCGUUGCCAAAGGAUAGAAAGGCCAUCUAAUUUUAAGCGUGAAUAUUUUCUGUUUCGAUGUCCCGCCAAGUGUUUCGAAAUACGUGGAUGUAAUCAGUUGAUGUGCAAAUGACUGGGAAAUUUUGAUGUGUAAAAUCGAGAUAGCAGGUCGAUAGGAGGAUCAAUAAAAAUUAAUUCGUUCCGUUAUUCCUGAAAUCCGAUUGCAUCAAAUUAACGGACAUCACUUUUUACGGAACUCUUCUCUCGAUUUCAAAAUAUAAUUAUCGGAAAACAAUUAUUUUUUUUUCUAUCAUUUUACACGCAACGCAAACGCGGAUUAGCGUACUUGCACAAUGCUGACGCGGAUGCGGAACAUGAGUUACGAUUGCUUGUUGCGUGCAAUACAGCACUACGCAAAUCAGCUUGCUGGAUAUGCGUUUGCUGGAAACGAACAAUAGCCAGACGUGACUACACGAUAGUUGCGUAGCCACGCUACGCUCGUAAGAGAACACGUAAUGCCAUAAUAUAGGGAGGAAAGUAGUACGUUCAGACUGCUGCAAUGGUCGACGGAACAUCGAUUUUUUUUCCCCUAAGAAAAACUCAGUAGAAGAGUUCACGAGCGAGACUGGAACGAUCUCAUUGAGGCUUGAAAUCGCGAUCGAGAGUUCGCACCGCUUCUAAUAUCAGCCUUAUCAAUUUGUCUCAUUGAAUUCGUUGCGCAAUUUUUUUCAUUAUUUAAUGUCAUGUCUGUUCUUUCGUUUUAGCACCGAGCUGUCGCAACGUGUCAAUCUAUUACUGCAGAGAACCAAUUGGAAUGUGAAGCUUCACAAUUCAUAGAAAAAACUGAAAUGUGAAUAGUCUCACAGUCGUUCGUCGUGCAUCUUAAUUGAUGAUUCAAGAUGCUAAUGAUAGAAAAUCAUAAAAUGACUGUUUUCUCAACGGUGGUACAAUCAGCAGCUGUACACACUUUAAAGCUCUUAGUUGAAGAGUUUUAGGAAAGCAUACAAGCUCUUCCGGCACGAGUGUAAUAUUGAGAAUAAAAGAAUCCAAUAUACGGGAGACCUAACAGAA